RNAcentral lists this unclassified non-coding RNA (324 nucleotides) under uncultured fungus. Its description in RNAcentral is "partial contains 18S rRNA, ITS1, 5.8S rRNA, ITS2 and 28S rRNA". Lineage: Eukaryota; Fungi. The record is from RNAcentral.
AAGGAUCAUUACCACACCUAAAAAACUUUCCACGUGAACUGUCGUUAUUUGUUGUGUGUCUGUGCGUGCUGGCGUGUGUUUGCGGCCUCUGUAUUGAGACUGCGAGUGCGUGCUGGCGUGCGCGGACUGAACGAAGGUCGUGUCGCUGUGCGUCUGCUGAUCUGCUGUGCUUUACUUUUGUAUCGCGCGGCGGUGUUGCGGGUGCUGUGCGUGCGGCUGACUUAUUUUUCAACCCCCAUACCUAAAAUACUGAUCAUACUGUGAGAACGAAAGUUCUUGCUUUUAACUAGAUAACAACUUUCAGCAGUGGAUGUCUAGGCUCGC